This 230-nucleotide ribosomal RNA is filed under the name uncultured bacterium. RNAcentral's name for it is "partial 16S ribosomal RNA". It matches the Rfam family "Bacterial small subunit ribosomal RNA", at positions 103 to 334 of the family's 1533-position model. The record is from RNAcentral.
CGGGUGAGUAACACGUAUCCAACCUGCCGUCUACUCUUGACAGCCUUCUGAAAGGAAGAUUAAUACAAGAUGGCAUCAUGAGUCCGCAUGUUCACAUGAUUAAAGGCAUUCCGGUAGACGAUGGGGAUGCGUUCCAUUAGAUAGUAGGCGGGGUAACGGCCCACCUAGUCUUCGAUGGAUAGGGGUUCUGAGAGGAAGGUCCCCCACAUUGGAACUGAGACACGGUCCAA